GUGCUUAACACAUGCAAGUCGAACGAUGAAGCCUAGCUUGCUAGGUGGAUUAGUGGCGCACGGGUGAGUAAUAUAUAGAUAACGUGCCUCUUAGUCUGGGAUAGCCAUUGGAAACGAUGAUUAAUACUAGAUACUCCUUCUCAUUCUAAUAUGAGUCGGGAAAGUUUUUCGCUAAGAGAUCGGUCUAUAUCCCAUCAGUUAGUUGGUAAGGUAACGGCUUACCAAGGCAAUGACGGGUAGCGGGUUUGAGAGGAUGAUCCGCCACACUGGUACUGAGACACGGACCAGACUCCUACGGGAGGCAGCAGUGAGGAACAUUGCACAAUGGGGGAAACCCUGAUGCAGCAACGCUGCGUGGAGGAUGACGCAUUUCGGUGUGUAAACUCCUUUUACGAGUCAAGAAAAUGACGGUAGCUCGUGAAUAAGCACCGGCUAACUCCGUGCCAGCAGCCGCGGUAAUACGGAGGGUGCAAGCGUUACUCGGAAUCACUGGGCGUAAAGGACACGUAGGCGGGAUGCCAAGUCUGAUGUGAAAUCCUAUGGCUUAACCAUAGAACUGCAUUGGAAACUGGUAACCUAGAGUAUGGGAGGGGGAGAUGGAAUUAGUGGUGUAGG
Molecule: ribosomal RNA, 615 nt
Filed under: uncultured bacterium
Lineage: Bacteria
Description: bacterial SSU rRNA
Rfam family: Bacterial small subunit ribosomal RNA
Source: RNAcentral